This is a non-coding RNA of Macaca mulatta (Rhesus monkey), 243 nucleotides long. NCBI's taxonomy places the organism in Eukaryota, Metazoa, Chordata, Mammalia, Primates, Cercopithecidae. The record is from RefSeq and is a predicted model, not a curated record.
CCAUAGCUGAUUCUGUCAUGUGGCCCACGUGGGGACCCAGCUGGGCACCCGCCUCACUGCCAGCCAUGAGGGAUUCUAGAGAAGAGGUCUACCAAGUUUGGCUGAGCAUCAGUUGCCAUGAGAGAUUCAGAUGAGAAAUUUUCACCAUCUUCAAGUCACAAAUUGCAAGAGAAAUUCUUCUGGGGAUGGGGACAAUCAGGACUGAAGAACAUGUCAUUUUCCCUAGAAACAGCUCUCAUCCUC